RNAcentral lists this ribosomal RNA (255 nucleotides) under uncultured bacterium. RNAcentral's name for it is "partial 16S ribosomal RNA". It matches the Rfam family "Bacterial small subunit ribosomal RNA", at positions 524 to 776 of the family's 1533-position model. The record is from RNAcentral.
UACGUAGGGUGCAAGCGUUUGUCCGGAAUUAUUGGGCGUAAAGAGCUCGUAGGCGGUCUGUCGCGUCGGCUGUGAAAACCUAGGGCUCAACCCUGGGCCUGCAGCCGAUACGGGCAGACUAGAAUUCGGUAGGGGAGACUGGAAUUCCUGGUGGUAGCGGUGAAAUGCGCAGAUAUCAGGAGGAACACCGGUGGCGAAGGCGGGUCUCUGGGCCGAUAUUGACGCUGAGGAGCGAAAGCGUGGGGAGCGAACAGG